CAGUCGAGCGGACAGAAGGGAGCUUGCUCCCGGAUGUUAGCGGCGGACGGGUGAGUAACACGUGGGUAACCUGCCUGUAAGACUGGGAUAACUCCGGGAAACCGGAGCUAAUACCGGAUAGUUCCUUGAACCGCAUGGUUCAAGGAUGAAAGACGGUUUCGGCUGUCACUUACAGAUGGACCCGCGGCGCAUUAGCUAGUUGGUGGGGUAAUGGCUCACCAAGGCAACGAUGCGUAGCCGACCUGAGAGGGUGAUCGGCCACACUGGGACUGAGACACGGCCCAGACUCCUACGGGAGGCAGCAGUAGGGAAUCUUCCGCAAUGGACGAAAGUCUGACGGAGCAACGCCGCGUGAGUGAUGAAGGUUUUCGGAUCGUAAAGCUCUGUUGUUAGGGAAGAACAAGUGCGAGAGUAACUGCUCGCACCUUGACGGUACCUAACCAGAAAGCCACGGCUAACUACGUGCCAGC
Molecule: ribosomal RNA, 470 nt
Filed under: Bacillus sp. (in: firmicutes)
Lineage: Bacteria; Bacillati; Bacillota; Bacilli; Caryophanales; Bacillaceae
Description: bacterial SSU rRNA
Rfam family: Bacterial small subunit ribosomal RNA
Source: RNAcentral